RNAcentral lists this ribosomal RNA (488 nucleotides) under uncultured bacterium. RNAcentral's name for it is "bacterial SSU rRNA". It matches the Rfam family "Bacterial small subunit ribosomal RNA", at positions 501 to 987 of the family's 1533-position model. The record is from RNAcentral.
CUACGUGCCAGCAGCCGCGGUAAUACGUAGGGCGCGAGCGUUGUCCGGAAUUAUUGGGCGUAAAGGGCUUGUAGGCGGUUGGUCGCGUCUGCCGUGAAAUUCUCUGGCUUAACUGGGGGCGUGCGGUGGGUACGGGCUGACUUGAGUGCGGUAGGGGAGACUGGAACUCCUGGUGUAGCGGUGGAAUGCGCAGAUAUCAGGAAGAACACCGGUGGCGAAGGCGGGUCUCUGGGCCGUUACUGACGCUGAGGAGCGAAAGCGUGGGGAGCGAACAGGAUUAGAUACCCUGGUAGUCCACGCUGUAAACGUUGGGCACUAGGUGUGGGGGCCACCCGUGGUUUCUGUGCCGGAGUUAACGCAAUAAGUACCCCGCCUGGGGAGUACGACCGCAAGGUUGAAACUCAAAGGAAUUGACGGGGGCCCGCACAAGCGGUGGAGUAUGUGGUUUAAUUCGACGCAACGCGAAGAACCUUACCAGGUCUUGACAU